This 256-nucleotide ribosomal RNA is filed under the name uncultured bacterium. RNAcentral describes it as "partial 16S ribosomal RNA". It matches the Rfam family "Bacterial small subunit ribosomal RNA", at positions 524 to 776 of the family's 1533-position model. The record is from RNAcentral.
UACGUAGGGUGCGAGCGUUGUCCGGAAUUACUGGGCGUAAAGAGCUCGUAGGUGGUUUGUCGCGUUGUUCGUGAAAACCGGGGGCUUAACCCUCGGCGUGCGGGCGAUACGGGCAGACUUGAGUACUGCAGGGGAGACUGGAAUUCCUGGUGUAGCGGUGGGAAUGCGCAGAUAUCAGGAGGAACACCGGUGGCGAAGGCGGGUGCUGGGCUGAUACUGACGCUGGAGGCGACGAAAGCCUAGGGGAGCGAACGGG